UCGCCGGGUGGAAAGCAUUC
RNAcentral lists this microRNA (20 nucleotides) under Caenorhabditis elegans. RNAcentral describes it as "cel-miR-271". Its record names the gene cel-miR-271. Lineage: Eukaryota; Metazoa; Nematoda; Chromadorea; Rhabditida; Rhabditidae. The record is from miRBase by way of RNAcentral.